RNAcentral lists this ribosomal RNA (517 nucleotides) under uncultured Staphylococcus sp. RNAcentral describes it as "bacterial SSU rRNA". It matches the Rfam family "Bacterial small subunit ribosomal RNA", at positions 8 to 507 of the family's 1533-position model. Lineage: Bacteria; Bacillati; Bacillota; Bacilli; Caryophanales; Staphylococcaceae. The record is from RNAcentral.
AGAGUUUGAUCCUGGCUCAGGAUGAACGCUGGCGGCGUGCCUAAUACAUGCAAGUCGAGCGAACAGAUGAGAAGCUUGCUUCUCUGAUGUUAGCGGCGGACGGGUGAGUAACACUGGGUAACCUACCUAUAAGACUGGGAUAACUCCGGGAAACCGGGGCUAAUACCGGAUAAUAUAUUGAACCGCAUGGUUCAAUGUUGAAAGACGGUUUCGGCUGUCACUUAUAGAUGGACCCGCGCCGUAUUAGCUAGUUGGUAAGGUAACGGCUUACCAAGGCAACGAUACGUAGCCGACCUGAGAGGGUGAUCGGCCACACUGGAACUGAGACACGGUCCAGACUCCUACGGGGGGCAGCAGUAGGGAAUCUUCCGCAAUGGGCGAAAGCCUGACGGAGCAACGCCGCGUGAGUGAUGAAGGUCUUAGGAUCGUAAAACUCUGUUGUUAGGGAAGAACAAAUUUGUUAGUAACUGAACAAGUCUUGACGGUACCUAACCAGAAAGCCACGGCUAACUACGUG